AUUGAACGCUGGCGGCAUGCUUUACACAUGCAAGUCGAACGGCAGCACGGGUGCUUGCACCUGGUGGCGAGUGGCGAACGGGUGAGUAAUACAUCGGAACGUGCCCAGUAGUGGGGGAUAACACUUCGAAAGAAGUGCUAAUACCGCAUGAGACCUACGGGAGAAAGCAGGGGACCUUCGGGCCUUGUGCUACUGGAGCGGCUGAUGACAGAUUAGGUAGUUGGUGGGGUAAAGGCCUACCAAGCCCGCGAUCUGUAGCUGGUCUGAGAGGAUGAUCAGCCACACUGGGACUGAGACACGGCCCAGACUCCUACGGGAGGCAGCAGUGGGGAAUUUUGGACAAUGGGGGCAACCCUGAUCCAGCCAUGCCGCGUGCAGGAAGAAGGCCUUCGGGUUGUAAACUGCUUUUGUCAGGGAAGAAAAGCGAAGGGCUAAUACCCCUUUGUGCUGACGGUACCUGAAGAAUAAGCACCGGCUAACUACGUGCCAGCCGCCGCAGUAACAC
Molecule: ribosomal RNA, 505 nt
Filed under: uncultured bacterium
Lineage: Bacteria
Description: bacterial SSU rRNA
Rfam family: Bacterial small subunit ribosomal RNA
Source: RNAcentral